This 2068-nucleotide unclassified non-coding RNA is filed under the name Hevea brasiliensis (rubber tree). Lineage: Eukaryota; Viridiplantae; Streptophyta; Magnoliopsida; Malpighiales; Euphorbiaceae. The record is from RNAcentral.
CCGGGCCCUCAUUAAUGGUACAGAUAAUUACAUCUUAAGAAAACACAUGGCUGGUUUAAUGAAUGUUGUGACACUCCAAUUACUAUCUAGCUCACAAACAAUUAUGAUUGGACAUUUUAAUCUUGCAGAACUUGAAAUCAUUUCAAAUAUAAAGCAGGCAAAACUUCCUUACAGCAGCAACUCAUUUUACACAUGAUAUUCUGCAACUCAUAAAGAGCGGAAGAAAAGAGCAAAGCCAAAACUAUUAAAGGGAAACAGAUAACAGAUACCAUAGGACUUGUCAAGUAAUUAGCUUUGGGUCAGUUAUCCACUCAUCUCCAAUGAUCUUGGUAGUUAAACAUUCACAUUCCCAUUUACAGGGAAGUUGGCAUUAGCAGGAGAUGAUUGUGAACCACAACUAGAUACUCCCAUAUUAUCACCAGAACAAUCACCAGUGAUAGAUACACCAUUUCCAGAAUCUAUCUGAAUUCCAUGGUAAGAAUCUCCAGAAAUCAAUGCUUGUAACAAUUUUGGUGCUGGGGGAAAGGGCACUUCCACUACCCCCUCUAGCAUCUUCACUACCAUCCCCAUUGUGGGCCUCAUGUUCUCAUUAUCCUGUAUGCACCAAAUUGCCACCAAUGCAACACGCUCCGCCUCCUCAAUUUUAUAUGCGCUGCCGAGCCUAUAAUCUACCACUGCUGCUACAUUGCCUUCAAUUAUUUGUUGUGCAGCAUAUGGUGGGAAAAACCAUUUCUCCCCCUUUUCUCCCUCUCUGCUGCCAUUGCCACCAGCUGCAGAUACUGGUGCCUCAACAUUUCGUCGGCCUCCAAGCAACUCCAAUAAUGUCAUUCCAUAGCUAUAAACAUCUGCUUUCGUGGUAAUGGCCACUCCAGAUAUCCACUCUGGCGCCACAUAGCCCCAGGUACCUCUCAUGGUGGCUAAAACUCGACUAAAGUCACGACCAACAAGCUUUGCUAGGCCAAAAUCAGAUACCUUAGGAGUGUAAUCACUAUCCAAAAGGAUGUUGUCUGGUUUGAUAUCACAGUGGAUGAUGCAAUCCCGACAUUCCUCGUGUAAAUAUGCAAUGCCUCUAGCAGUCCCAACUGCUACACGAAAUCUAACAUCCCAGCUCAAACUAGGACCACCUUGGCGUAAAUAAACACUCAAAGAACCAUUUGGCAUGUAAUCAUAAACUAAAAGUCUAUGAGAAUUCUCUGAGCAAAAUCCUCUAAGCCUCACUAGAUUGACAUGUUGAAUGUUCCCAAUCGUACACACCUCUGCCCUGAACUCUCUCUCUCCACUCCCUGGCCUUUCAAGGCGUUUCACAGCAACAGGAGUAGAAUCUAAUAACUCACCUUGAAACACUGCACCAAAUCCACCGUGCCCAAGUUUAUCUGAGAAACCCCGAGUUGCUGCAUACAGCUCCUUGUAAGAAAAUACCUUCAAAUUCAACACCAGAAAGCCCCCAUCUUCCCUUCUCCCCUUGCUCCUCCUCCUCAUCUGCAGAGUCAGCAAAAUUCCUAUUGCUAACCCAACAAGGGCAACAGACACAAGAAUGCUAACAAUCAAAAGCACAGACUUCGACUCAUCCUUCUUUACGGUUCCUUCUUUUGGCACCCUAACAAACAGAAUAUCUUGAUAUGUUCUAUCAGAGCUUAGAUUUCUCAAAUUCAAUAAAGUCCCAUAUAAGUUCUUGCAUAAAUUAGUCCUCUCGUCAUGGAGAAAACCGAUACACGAACAAUUACCCAAACAAGACCUCUCGCAAAAGCUUCUACUACCAGGAAACGACAUCGUAACGGCUCCCUCAUACUCCAUGACACCACCCUCCAUGAAGCCAUCAGUCUCGUUACAGGAAUCCCCACUCUCCCUGCGACAGCCGCCAGAAUAAUCCCCAAACUCCCAAUCGUAAUCACUAACAGGCCUAAACCCUGAAAGGCAAAAGCAAGGCUUUGGCGAUGCGGAACUGAUUUUACAAAAUCCCAAAUCUCCGCAUAACCGAUAAACUUUACACCGAUUCUCCGGCUGUGACCAGAACAUAUUCCAAUUCUCCGCCUGCACGGACCAUGUAUAUUGUUUCAAUUGCCCGUCG